GUAUCCUGGCUCAGGACGAACGCUGGCGGCGCGCCUAACACAUGCAAGUCGAACGAGCGAGAGAGAGCUUGCUUUCUCGAGCGAGUGGCGAACGGGUGAGUAACGCGUGAGGAACCUGCCUCAAAGAGGGGGACAACGAGUUGGAAACGACUGCUAAUACCGCAUAAGCCCACGGCUCGGCAUCGAGCAGAGGGAAAAGGAGCAAUCCGCUUUGAGAUGGCCUCGCGUCCGAUUAG
RNAcentral lists this ribosomal RNA (236 nucleotides) under uncultured bacterium. RNAcentral's name for it is "partial 16S ribosomal RNA". It matches the Rfam family "Bacterial small subunit ribosomal RNA", at positions 14 to 244 of the family's 1533-position model. The record is from RNAcentral.